This 292-nucleotide ribosomal RNA is filed under the name uncultured Acidobacteriota bacterium. RNAcentral describes it as "uncultured Acidobacteria bacterium partial 16S ribosomal RNA". Lineage: Bacteria; Pseudomonadati; Acidobacteriota. The record is from RNAcentral.
GGACUACCGGGGUAUCUAAUCCUGUUUGCUCCCCUAGCUUUCGUUCCUCAGUGUCAGUUGCGAUCCAGUCAGCCGCCUUCGCCACGGGUGUUCCUGCAGAUAUCUACGCAUUUCACCGCUACACCUGCAAUUCCACUGACCUCUCUCGCACUCGAGCACGGCAGUUUUGAAAGCAGCCCCUGAGUUAAGCCCAGAGAUUUCACUUCCAACUUACCGCACCACCUACGAACCCUUUACGCCCAGUAAUUCCGAGCAACGCUGGCCCCCUACGUAUUACCGCGGCUGCUGGCAC